AGAGCGAACGCUGGCGGCAUGCUUAACACAUGCAAGUCGCACGGUCGGGGGAAACUUCGGCAGUGGCGGACGGGUGAGUAACGCGUAGGUAUCUAUCCAUGGGUGGGGGAUAACGGCGGGAAACUGCUGCUAAUACCGCAUGACACCUGAGGGUCAAAGGCGCGAGUCGCCUGUGGAGGAGCCUGCGUCCGAUUAGCUUGUUGGUGGGGUAAUGGCCUACCAAGGCGACGACGGGUA
RNAcentral lists this ribosomal RNA (237 nucleotides) under uncultured bacterium. Its description in RNAcentral is "partial small subunit ribosomal RNA". It matches the Rfam family "Bacterial small subunit ribosomal RNA", at positions 26 to 285 of the family's 1533-position model. The record is from RNAcentral.